GACGAACGCUGGCGGCGUGCCUAAUACAUGCAAGUCGAACGAACUCUGGUAUUGAUUGGUGCUUGCAUCAUGAUUUACAUUUGAGUGAGUGGCGAACCUGGUGGAGUAACACGUGGGAAACCUGCCCAGAAGCGGGGGAUAACACCUGGAAACAGAUGCUAAUACCGCAUAACAACUUGGACCGCAUGGUCCGAGUUUGGAAAGAUGGCUUCGGCUAUCACUUUUGG
RNAcentral lists this ribosomal RNA (227 nucleotides) under uncultured bacterium. RNAcentral describes it as "partial 16S ribosomal RNA". It matches the Rfam family "Bacterial small subunit ribosomal RNA", at positions 28 to 224 of the family's 1533-position model. The record is from RNAcentral.